This 253-nucleotide ribosomal RNA is filed under the name uncultured bacterium. RNAcentral describes it as "partial 16S ribosomal RNA". It matches the Rfam family "Bacterial small subunit ribosomal RNA", at positions 524 to 776 of the family's 1533-position model. The record is from RNAcentral.
UACGGAGGGUGCAAGCGUUGUCCGGAAUCACUGGGCGUAAAGGGCGCGUAGGCGGCUCAUGAAGGCUGUGGUGAAAGUCCGGGGCUCAACCUCGGAUCGGCCGUGGCGACUCGUGGGCUGGAGCACUGUAGAGGCGGGUGGAAUUCCGGGUGUAGCGGUGGAAUGCGUAGAGAUCCGGAAGAACACCAGUGGCGAAGGCGACCCGCUGGGCAGUGGCUGACGCUGAGGCGCGAAAGCGUGGGGAGCGAUCCGG